Anas platyrhynchos (mallard) is the source of this 372-nucleotide long non-coding RNA. RefSeq lists it as uncharacterized. The record is from RefSeq and is a predicted model, not a curated record. Lineage: Eukaryota; Metazoa; Chordata; Aves; Anseriformes; Anatidae.
GCAUUAUAGAACAGUUUCCAGAACCAAUUCUUUGUGUUCUCCUACCAGAAGUUUUGAAUAGCGUAGGUCCAGUUUGAAGUGUUCUUUUAUUGUUGCUCUGCUUCUUCCAAGAAUAUAUCCAUGUUUUCCUAGGAGAAAACUGGCAGUCUCAUCAACACUAUCUUGUUUGUGAAAAAAUGUGUGCUAGAGGAGGCAGAAUAUAGAUUUUCCUACGUGACUAUGAGCAACAGAUCAGCUCUGACAUUUCAGCAGGGUCUACAAGGGUCUACAAGCUUGUAGUGGCAAUGCAUUCCCCAUCACCACAACAGAGAUUUUGCUGAGAGUAAAAUACUUUUAUGCCUGAGUGUUUUAAAAUAAAGCAUUUGCCUUGCU